GAUGAACGCUGGCGGCGUGCCUAAUACAUGCAAGUCGAGCGAACAGACGAGGAGCUUGCUCCUCUGACGUUAGCGGCGGACGGGUGAGUAACACGUGGAUAACCUACCUAUAAGACUGGGAUAACUUCGGGAAACCGGAGCUAAUACCGGAUAAUAUAUUGAACCGCAUGGUUCAAUAGUGAAAGACGGUUUUGCUGUCACUUAUAGAUGGAUCCGCGCCGCAUUAGCUAGUUGGUAAGGUAACGGCUUACCAAGGCAACGAUGCGUAGCCGACCUGAGAGGGUGAGCGGCCACACUGGAACUGAGACACGGGCCAGACUACUACGGGAGGCAGCAGCAGGGAAGAGUGGGCAAUGGGCGAAAGCCUGACGGAGCAAGGCCGCGUGAGUGAUGAAGGGCUUCGGGUCGUAAAACUCUGUUAUUGGGGAAGAACAAAUGUGUAAGUAACUAUGCACGUCUUGACGGUACCUAAUCAGAAAGCAACGGCUAACUACGUG
RNAcentral lists this ribosomal RNA (497 nucleotides) under uncultured bacterium. RNAcentral describes it as "partial 16S ribosomal RNA". It matches the Rfam family "Bacterial small subunit ribosomal RNA", at positions 28 to 507 of the family's 1533-position model. The record is from RNAcentral.